UGGGGAAUUUUGGACAAUGGGCGCAAGCCUGAUCCAGCCAUGCCGCGUGCGGGAAGAAGGCCUUCGGGUUGUAAACCGCUUUUGUCAGGGAAGAAAUCUUCUGAGUUAAUACCUCGGGAGGAUGACGGUACCUGAAGAAUAAGCACCGGCUAACUACGUGCCAGCAGCCGCGGUAAUACGUAGGGUGCAAGCGUUAAUCGGAAUUACUGGGCGUAAAGCGUGCGCAGGCGGUUUUGUAAGACAGAGGUGAAAUCCCCGGGCUCAACCUGGGAACUGCCUUUGUGACUGCAAGGCUUGAGUGCGGCAGAGGGGGGAUGGAAUUCCGCGUGUAGCAGUGAAAUGCGUAGAUAUGCGGAGGAACACCGAUGGCGAAGGCAAUCCCCUGGGCCUGCACUGACGCUCAUGCACGAAAGCGUGGGGAGCAGACAGGAUUAGAUACCCUGGUAGUCCACGCCCUAAAACGAUGUCAACUGGUUGUUGGGAAGGUUCCUUCUCAGUAACGUAGCUAACGCGUGAAGUUGA
RNAcentral lists this ribosomal RNA (522 nucleotides) under uncultured bacterium. Its description in RNAcentral is "partial 16S ribosomal RNA". It matches the Rfam family "Bacterial small subunit ribosomal RNA", at positions 355 to 868 of the family's 1533-position model. The record is from RNAcentral.